RNAcentral lists this ribosomal RNA (250 nucleotides) under uncultured bacterium. RNAcentral's name for it is "partial 16S ribosomal RNA". It matches the Rfam family "Bacterial small subunit ribosomal RNA", at positions 809 to 1058 of the family's 1533-position model. The record is from RNAcentral.
AUGAGAACUAGAUGUUAGGGGGCUUAGACCUUUUAGUAUCGCAGCAAACGCGUUAAGUUCUCCGCCUGGGGAGUACGGCCGCAAGGUUAAAACUCAAAUGAAUUGACGGGGGCCCGCACAAGCGGUGGAGCAUGUGGUUUAAUUCGAUGCAACGCGAAGAACCUUACCUACCUUUGAAUCCACGGAAUCUUGCAGAAAUGUGAGAGUGCCUUCGGGAACCGUGAGACAGGUGCUGCAUGGCUGUCGUCAG